RNAcentral lists this ribosomal RNA (526 nucleotides) under uncultured bacterium. Its description in RNAcentral is "bacterial SSU rRNA". It matches the Rfam family "Bacterial small subunit ribosomal RNA", at positions 524 to 1050 of the family's 1533-position model. The record is from RNAcentral.
UACGUAGGUGGCGAGCGUUGUCCGGAAUUACUGGGCGUAAAGGGUGCGUAGGCGGUUAUUUAAGUCUCGUGUGAAAGGCGCCGGCUUAACCGGCGAGAGCCACGGGAAACUGGGUAGCUAGAGUGCCGGAGAGGGUCGCGGAAUUCCCGGUGUAGCGGUGAUAUGCGUAGAUAUCGGGAGGAACACCAGUGGCGAAGGCGGCGGCCUAGACGGUAACUGACGCUGAGGCACGAAAGCUGGGGGAGCAAACAGGAUUAGAUACCCUGGUAGUCCCAGCCGUAAACGAUGAGCGCUAGGUGUUGCGGGUAUCGACCCCUGCAGUGCCGCAGUCAACGCAAUAAGCGCUCCGCCUGGGGAGUACGGCCGCAAGGCUGAAACUCAAAGGAAUUGACGGGGGCCCGCACAAGCGGUGGAGCAUGUGGUUUAAUUCGAAGCAACGCGUAGAACCUUACCAGGGCUUGACAUCCCCUGAUGGCCGUGGAAACACGGAAUCUCUUCGGAGCAGGGAGACAGGUGGUGCAUGGUU